CAAACUUUCAAAAUUAAUUUCUGGCUUCAAACUAACUUUUUUAGAAAUUCCCGUAGCCAUUUUGUAGCAAAUUUUAUGUUCUUUCAGAAUUUGAAAACAGAAUUUCAAAAAAUUUUGAAACUGCCUAGUUCAAGCAGAAAAAGUGAAUUUUCAUAUUACUGGAAGUUUGGAUAUCGAUGGAAGAGUUGUGAAGAUUGGCGGGAUAUUAGAAAAAGCGCAAGCUGCGAUUGAUAACAAGAUCGAGAAAGUUGUCAUUCCCGAAGCAAACUAAAGUCAAGUCCCUAACACGAUGAAAGAACAAAUU
Molecule: non-coding RNA, 304 nt
Organism: Caenorhabditis elegans
Lineage: Eukaryota; Metazoa; Nematoda; Chromadorea; Rhabditida; Rhabditidae
Source: Ensembl